UGAGUACGAGACGCUAAGGCGUUGAAGCAGUCUAUGUCAGACUUCCAAGAAAAGCUCGCAAUGUCAUCAACAAAAAAUGCCUGUACCAUAACCGACACAGGUGGGUAGGUAGAGUAUACUAAGGGGCGCGAGAUAACUCUCUCUAAGGAACUCGGCAAAAUGACUCCGUAACUUCGGGAGAAGGAGUGCCUUAUUUUUAUAAGGUUGCAAUAACAAGAUCCAAGCAACUGUUUACCAAAAACACAGGUCUCCGCUAAGUCGUAAGACGAUGUAUGGGGGCUGACGCCUGCCCAGUGCCAGAAGGUUAAAGAAGUUGGUUAGUUUCGGCGAAGCUGAUGACUGAAGCCCUGGUGAACGGCGGCCGUAACGAUAACGGUCCUAAGGUAGCGAAAUUCCUUGUCGGGUAAGUUCCGACCCGCACGAAAGGCGUAAUGAUUUGGAUACUGUCUCGGAGAGGGGCUCGGUGAAAUAGACUUGUCUGUGAAGAUGCGGACUACCUGCACUGGACAGAAAGACCCUAUGAAGCUUUACUGUAACUUGAGAUUGAAAUUGGACUUUAUUUGCGCAGUAUAGGUGGGAGACGUUGAGAAUAUUCUUGCGGGAAUAUUGGAGUCAUCAGUGAGAUACCACUCUUGUAAUGUUAGAUUUCUAACUUUGUAUCAUGAUCUGGUCAAAGGACAGUUUCAGGCGGGCAGUUUGACUGGGGCGGUCGCCUCCCAAACGGUAACGGAGGCGCACAAAGGUUUCCUCUGAACGUGUAGAAAUCGUAUCUAGAGUGUAAAGGCAUAAGGAAGCUUGACUGUGAGACCUACAAGUCGAGCAGGGACGAAAGUCGGUCUUAGUGAUCUGACGGUGCUGAGUGGAAAGGCCGUCACUCAACGGAUAAAAGUUACUCUAGGAUAACAGGCUGAUCUCCCCCAAGAGUUCACAUCGACGGGGAGGUUUGGCACCUCGAUGCCGGCUCAUCGCAUCCUGGGGCGGUAGUACGUCCCAAGGGUUGGGCUGUUCGCCCAUGAAAGCGGUACGCGAGCUGGGUUCAGAACGUCGUGAGACAGUUCGGUCCAUAUCCGGUGUAGGCGUUAGAAUAUUGAGAGGAGCCUUCUUUAGUACGAGAGGACCGAGAAGGACAUACCUCUGGUGUACCAGUUAUCGUGCCAACGGUAAACGCUGGGUAGCUAUGUAUGGAGUGGAUAACCGCUGAAAGCAUCUAAGUGGGAAGCCCACCUCAAGAUAAGUAUUCUC
Molecule: ribosomal RNA, 1242 nt
Filed under: metagenome
Description: bacterial LSU rRNA
Rfam family: Bacterial large subunit ribosomal RNA
Source: RNAcentral